GUGUCAGCCGCCGCGGUAAAACGUAGGAGGCGAGCGUUAUCCGGAUUUACUGGGCGUAAAGCGCACGCAGGUGGCUUCGUAAGUCGGACAUGAAAGCUCCUGGCUUAACUGGGAGAGGUUGUUCGAUACUGCGGGGCUUGAGGUUGGGAGAGGGACGUGGAAUUCCCGGUGUAGUGGUGGAAUGCGUAGAUAUCGGGAGGAACACCAGUGGCGCAAGCGGCGUCCUGGCCCACACCUGACGCUGAGGUGCGAAAGCGUGGGGAGCAAACAGGAUUAGAUACCCCCGUAGUCC
RNAcentral lists this ribosomal RNA (292 nucleotides) under uncultured bacterium. RNAcentral's name for it is "partial 16S ribosomal RNA". It matches the Rfam family "Bacterial small subunit ribosomal RNA", at positions 505 to 796 of the family's 1533-position model. The record is from RNAcentral.